Molecule: ribosomal RNA, 406 nt
Filed under: uncultured bacterium
Lineage: Bacteria
Description: partial 16S ribosomal RNA
Rfam family: Bacterial small subunit ribosomal RNA
Source: RNAcentral
AUUGAACGCUGGCGGCAGGCCUAACACAUGCAAGUCGAACGAGUGGCGGACGGGUGAGUAAUGUCUGGGAAACUGCCUGAUGGCGGGGGAUAACUACUGGAAACGGUAGCUAAUACCGCAUACCAUCAGAUGUGCCCAGAUGGGAUUAGCUAGUUGGUGGGGUAACGGCUCACCAAGGCGACGAUCCCUAGCUGGUCUGAGAGGAUGACCAGCCACACUGGAACUGAGUCACGGUGCGGACUCCUACGGGAGGCAUCAGUGGGGAAUCUUGCACAAUGGUCGCAAGCCUGAGGCAGCCAGGCCGCGGGUAUGUAGAAGGCCUUCGGGUUGUAAAGUACUUUCAGCGGGGAGGCGUUACCCGCAGAAGAAGCACCUGCUAACUCCGUGCCAGCAGCCGCGGUAAUUC